CAUGGGAGAAAUUUAUAGCUGAAGCAUUUACUUCUGUAAAGGCUACAUAUGUUGGUGGAAUUCAAGCCUAUUCUUCAAAGAAUGUUGUGUGAUUAUAUAUUUUGGCAUGUCUGGUCACGGCUUUUACGGGCUCCAAGACCUCCAACCCUGCCUCUCUCACAGGUAUCUAUUUAAGCUCACUCAAUGAAGCGCAUUUCACGUUCUCAGUUGAAUACUUGAAUGGCACCGCGCAUUCAAGUAAUCAUACCGGCCGAAGCUGAACAUUAUGGGGAACAUGAAUUUAUGAGUCCUGAAGACAUACUUGAAUGUUUGAAAUUGAAUCUUGGGAAUAACGUCUGCCCAAGUGUUCUUUUGGAAUUGGCUGAGGAGUUUGAUGUUACUCCUAGAUUACUUGAAUCAGAAGAGGCUGCUUUCCUUGUUCCAUAUUACAACUUAGUGACUGAAAUCAAAAGGCUUAUUGGUAUCGAUGACAAGGAUCAGUUUGCCUCUUUCCUGAUAGCCAACCGUGAGUUGGUGCAGAAAUAUUCUCCAGUUAAGGUUUUCCAGUUGAUCUGCCAGCAUUCUGCUGCUGCUUGUGCUACUGCACUGCUUGAAUCUGGACUUGAUGUGGAUGUAAAUUUGCAAUUUAAAUAUACGGGAAAAUCCCCUUUGUUCAUGGCGGCUAGGAACUUAUCUUAUGGCAUGACUAAGGUUCUUUUAGAUCAUGGAGCUGACGCUGAUCUUUCUUUUAGUGGUUUUGGCACCCCACUUUGGAAUGCUGUAGAUGCAUUCAGAAAGAACCCAUUGAUACUAUCAGACUGCUGGCGUCACAUAGUCAUCAAGUCAAGGAUCUUUGCAUUGCUUUGAUAAAUAGUAGUUCUGCCCAAAAAUAUGCUGUAUUAUUGUUGGUUGCUUGGGAUAUGCUCAUGGUCUCGUCUGCUGAGGGGGACCUAGAGACCACCCCAGUUGGGCAACACAUAUUUCGGGGGCUAAGAAAUGUAUCAUACCUGCAUGAGAUAUGUGGUGUCACUUGCGAAUUUUGGGAUAAGUUCCAAUUGAAAUGAAUAUGAAAAGGGCGGUGAAGAAUUUGACGAUAGCAUGGUAUGUGGUCAAAACUAUGUCGAUGACUAGAGGUGUCAUUGAGCGCUAAUUUCACUCAAGGGUUGCCCAGCCACCGAAAACCCCUCCCCAGCCACCGAUAACCCCUCCCCACCCUCGAAAUUGGCGAAGCCCAGCCACGAAAUCGGCGACGCCUAGCCACGAAAUCGGCCACAAACGACCGAAAUCGGCCGGUUUAGGGUAUUCAGCCCCAACAUCGGCCAUUUUCGGCCAAUAUCGGCCAUUUUUGGCCAUCGGUGGUGCUGGUUUGGUGUGCGUCGGUGGUGUUCGUGUGGUGGUGGGUGUGGUGUUCGUGUGGUGGGGGUGCUGUUGGGUUGUUCUUAUUAUUUAUUACAUAUUCAGUUAAAAGUUGCCAACCCUUUAUGUUUAGUGGAUCCUAGUCACCCAAACUUUUAUUUUAUUCUCGGUACUGGGGCAUACCGUGUAUUGACAAAGGCGAAUUAUGACACAAUUGUUAAUAUUUGGCCCAAUUAAACAAAUUAUGCAGUGGAUUGCAUAUCGUACCGAAUUUUAUACCAGUCCUUUUUUCUCUCACAAUCCGUACACUUUCUAUUAUUAGUAUUCCUUUUAAUAUCCACUUUAAUUUUUUUAAAAUGUAGUGUACCACUUUUUUUGCUCAUCCCUACUAUAUUCUUAAUGCUUGAAUGCCUAGCCGGAAGAUAAAUAUAGGAUGGAAGGAAUAUAUUUCAAUUUUUUAAGUGCUUUUUUGUUGUACAUUUGGAAUGUCUCUUUUUCCUGGGCAAGGAGUUCAACUUACCAGAUCCCAUCUGUGUUAAAUUGUGAAAACUUAAAAUAGGGACAUUUAUGUCCACAAGAGUGUGGAUAAGUGUUGGUUCCCUUUAGAGCUGUAUGACUGUAUCCUAAGCUGCAUUUACGGAAACUUAACAGAAUACUAGCCUCAGGCCCUCAGGUAAACCUUCUCAGUAUUUUGUAUUUAUCUUCUUUAUAUCUUCUUUCUCUUACAUCCUUGAUUUUACUUUUGUUUGGUUUGCAAACUUAACUAACUACCCUUAAGCCUAAAGCACAUUGUUGUUUUUUAUGUUUAAAGCCUCCUUCAAUAAUUUGCUAUAAGCUACUUGAUGUUAUAUUGUUUUGAGGUUGUUUUCAGGAGUCUGUGUGGUUUUAAGCAGUGGUAGUUUCUGCGGGUUAUAGUGGUUGCAAGGGUGAUGGUUUGCUGGUGGGGUUGAUGGGGGUGGAGAAGGGGGUGGCAGCAUAGGUGAUGGUAAGCGUAAGGGUUUACUGUUGAGGUUGGUGAGGGUGGUGGCUGUUGGUAUAAUAAUUUGGUGGUGAUUGUUGGUGUUAGUAAUUACUUAGAUCUUAGUAAGUUAGAUUUAGUUUGAUUUUUUAGUAAGUUAGAUUAUUACCGGUAACCUGUAUUUAUGUUUAAAGGUAGGAGUAUAGCAGGUUUUUCAUAAGCCUAUUCUUAGCAUAUGAGGAAAUCAAACAUUUGUUGCUAAUAAUUGUUAAUCUCCAAAAUAUCAUUUGUUGCAAAAAUGUAGUAUACUAUCAAUCUAUCAUAGUCAUAUGAGGAAUCAUCAUGAUAAAUAUGCCACCAACAAUCAUCUAAGGUGCCACCAUUAGUAUAUGCCUCCUUAUUGUAUGGCAUACUAGCAUGUUAGGAACUAGUAUAGAUGAAAAGUGAUGAACGCAUGAUUAGGGAAGGAAGUUUGAUUAAGAUAUGUAAUUCGGGAAAAUUUUCUGAGCGGUGACUUGAGGUUUCAUACUUCCUCCGAUUUUUUAGUUGUGGUACAUUAAUUAAAAAGCUCUGAUAUUUUUGUCAAAGUAUCACAACAAUAGCGACAAGAAUAGCAACAUCAAAAGAAAAAAACCGAGGAAGUAUAAUUAUAUGGCCUAUGAUAAAAUAUAUAGUGAAAUACAAUUGCGGGAAACAGAGGUUUUUUAAAGACAUUUCAAUCCAAGAUAAAUAUUUAGCACAGAACCCUUGCUAUUAUUAAAAUUAUUUAAUAGGUGCUAAAGCCAAGUAGUUUUAAAAACCAAUGUAAAAGCCUACUUAACUUAAAAAAAAGAGCCAACAUAUACUGUAAAUUUGUGUGAAAAAAAGAAUUUAAAGAGUUGAGAAGAUCAAUUAGAUUAUCAUGUGGCCGAAGGAAAAGAAAAAUAAGAUUGAAAAGGAAAUUGUGGUUAACAACUCAAAUAAAAAAAAAUUAAAAAAAAAAAGAGGAAAGGAAAACAGUAUAAGCUGUCAACCACACUACUAGCCUACUAGGCGUCAUAUGAAAUUUUUAUGUUUUUUAAAGUCACGUGAAUAAAAAAAGUGUUGUAAGAGAGAGAAAAACAAGAAAUGGUAAGGCAUUCCUUUCUUCAUUCAUAACUAUGGCGUAUAAUUUUGUAGAUCUAGGGUUCUUAUCGAAUCCAACAUACGAAUUUUGUGGGUGUCCGAAUUUGUGUCGUGUUGAGUGACUGACAUAGUUCGGUGGCCUUUUAGCCAAGUUCGAGUAACAUAGCAAAUUUAGUAUAUCAAAGAUGUUACAACAACAAUGCCUUAAUCGCAAUAUAUAUUAGGGUCAUAUAGACAUUAUUGCAAGAGUCAUAUACAUAGAUCCUUUCUCCAUUCUUCUUUGACAUUUAUCGCUUUCAACCACCCUCAUCCAAACAUAUUACAGUGGUAAAGAGAGUUUGAUGCUAUAUUACAUGUGCAGUCUGUUUUUUACUCCUAUUUGGUUGCCUGAGUAGUUUGUUUAUGCUAGUGUAACCCCUUAAUUUUGGCAAAAAUGGUCACAUGAAUAUCUUGUCAUUGAAAGAUACAUUACAAAAUUUGUGUAGUCUAUACAUACAAUUUGCAUCCUCCCCUUUUAACUGAAGUGCUAGCAUAGGAAUUGAGAAGUACUUUUGAAAUUACGCCCAAUAAUUUGAGUAGGUUAUGGACUUAUGGCAUGAUGAAGUCCUCUGAGUUAACAAGCAAUUUCAUUAGAGAUGUGAAAUGAGCAUAACAUUGUCCAAUAAUUGCAGUGCACUCAUUAAUGAGAGAUUUGGAUGCUGGAUCAUCUGACCCAAACUUGAAAUGUAUCUGUAGUUACUUAAUUUAGUUAUCAAUUUCAAUGACUUAUAGUAAUACUGCUUGAUUGGCAAAAGACUCAACUGGAUGGCUAAAACUCUUGGAUAUGACCGGAAUCAAAUUUGAUCUAAGUGACCUGUUUUCCAUACUUUUUUCCUCGCCGAGGACUGGGCAUAACCAUAUUGCAUUUUGAUUAUGGGCAUUUUCAAUUAUUUCAUUUCAUUUUUUUUAAUUAUUGUGAUAGCCUUGUGUCACUUCCCUACCUUUUAUAGUUUGAAAUAACUCUUACGAAUAGUGUUUGGACAUGGCUAGCUAUAGCGCACGUGCUAACUGCCCUAUUUUGCACAAAAGGAUGAUAUUUUUAUACGAGGGGCUUGCUUAAUCAUACAGAAGUAAAUGAAUGUAGUAGCCUUAGUUUGAAUCAUGAAGAUAAUAGCAUUUGAUUGAUCGAGCGUUGCUAAUGAUCUUUCGUUACAUAUUUAUUGCAUGACAAUGUAUAGUGAAAGCUUAAUAUGGAGUGUUGAGUGGUCAAUUUUAUGUGUUGCUAAUUAGAAGAGAUCAACUGUUCAGAAUUAGUUUGCAAUUUUAUUCUUUUGUUUAUUCAUAAUUUUAUCUUAUAGAAGCAUCUCCUUGUAGUUAUUUUGUUAAAUUCUGAUAGAAUCAUCUCCGUAUAAUUUGCAUCUUAAUAUAUAUUAAUAUUAUGUUUGUGAACUUGAUAUCCUAUUUCGAUUGAUGAAGUCUCCUGCCCAAGGUCACGUCAAAGGCUAAAACUAAAGGUAUGUAGUUUUGAUUACAAUUGAACUAAGAUUUUUAUACAACAAAUACUCUGUUUAGUUUUGUUAAGUGGUGGAAGGGCUUUUGAUGUCAUACAGUGCUGCCAGAGCAAAAAUAUUAUGUGGAGCCACGACGAUCUGGUCCAGUAUUAUUUUCUUUUGUUGGGAAGCCAGUGACAGGUACAUCCGGGUCUCCGUCCGUGU
RNA transcript from Chenopodium quinoa (quinoa), 5091 nucleotides. RefSeq lists it as uncharacterized. The record is from RefSeq and is a predicted model, not a curated record. Lineage: Eukaryota; Viridiplantae; Streptophyta; Magnoliopsida; Caryophyllales; Amaranthaceae. The transcript is spliced from 5 exons.